GCCUCUUGUUUCCCUUGAUGCUGGUAUCAUUGGCACUGACCAAAUCAUCCUGCAGUCUAGAAAGAAGCAACUUUCUCAGUGAUUGCAUCCUCUGUGACUGAGCCUUGUGUUUUUAACUUUAUUUCAAAUAGAGGAUUGGAAGAAAGAAGAAAGUUCCCAUCCAGAAACAGGGUGGCCUCCCUGAUUCUAACCACGUUUGGACAGAGAAAUUUUGAGAAUGGAGUGGCAAGGGAUCAUGUCACUGAAAACAGAUAGCAGAGGCUGCUUGUUAAACCUCUGCUUGACUGAUACAGUAUGACAACAGCUUUAAACCGAUUUGGAAUGAACAACCAUUCUGAUCCAUUACAACAGUGGAGCAGAGAAUCUACAGUAGUUGUAGACUACAACUCUCAUCAGCCCCAC
Python bivittatus (Burmese python) is the source of this 402-nucleotide non-coding RNA. NCBI's taxonomy places the organism in Eukaryota, Metazoa, Chordata, Lepidosauria, Squamata, Pythonidae. The record is from RefSeq and is a predicted model, not a curated record.